Molecule: long non-coding RNA, 674 nt
Filed under: Homo sapiens (human)
Lineage: Eukaryota; Metazoa; Chordata; Mammalia; Primates; Hominidae
Description: non-protein coding lnc-AGMO-2:3
Source: RNAcentral
UAUUCAUGAAGACAUUCCUGGAAGCCGAGCUUCCUGAUGAUUUCACUGCACACCUUUUCAUGUCAUUUAGCAACAAGUUUCCUCAUUCUAGUCCAAUGGUAAAAAGUAAGCCUGCUCUCCUAUCAGGCGGUCUGAGAAUGAAUAAAGGUGCCAUCACCCCUCCCCGGACUACUUCUCCUGCAAAUACGUGUUCCCCAGAAGUAAUCCAUCUGAAGGACAUUGUCUGUUACCUGUCUCUGCUUGAAAGAGGAAGACCUGAGGAUAAGCUUGAGUGAAAGACAAUCAACAGUGAAAAAGGAAAAGAGUGGUUCCCAGCAGCCAAACAAAGUGAUUGACAAGAAUAAAAUGCAAAGAGCCAACUCUGUUACUGUAGAUGGACAAGGCCUGCAGGUCACUCCUGUGCCUGGUACUCACCCACUUUUAGUUUUUGUGAACCCCAAAAGUGGUGGAAAACAAGGAGAACGAAUUUACAGAAAAUUCCAGUAUCUAUUAAAUCCUCGUCAGGUUUACAGUCUUUCUGGAAAUGGACCAAUGCCAGGGUUAAACUUUUUCCGUGAUGUUCCUGACUUCAGAGUGUUAGCCUGUGGUGGAGAUGGAACCGUGGGCUGGGUUUUGGAUUGCAUAGAAAAGGCCAAUGUAGGCAAGCAUCCUCCAGUUGCGAUUCUGCCUCUUGG